Long non-coding RNA from Myotis lucifugus (little brown bat), 3716 nucleotides. RefSeq lists it as uncharacterized. The transcript is spliced from 3 exons. The record is from RefSeq and is a predicted model, not a curated record. Lineage: Eukaryota; Metazoa; Chordata; Mammalia; Chiroptera; Vespertilionidae.
AGGGAUGCGCUUCCGGGUCACGCUAACGCCGCGGUUUCCUCCACUCGCUUGGUUCUACUGUGGGUCUGGACCGGUCCCCAUGUCCUGCAGCGGAGCCCCUGCAGCCUUUGGCUCCACAGUAGCCUUGAAAACCAACUGCCCCAAUCAUGGUGAAAACUAGCAGCCUCCAGAAGCCACUGGAAGGGGCAGAACAAGAUUGGAACUCCUUCAAAGCCCCAUUCCCAGGGAAUUGUCAUUACUUGACCUGUUUGGUGGUUCCUUGAAAGACAUUCACAAGACUGUCUGUAUUUGACCUGAUGUGGAGCUCAUCCUGUACAAAUAGCCUUUUGCCCAUCAGGGUAUUCAUUGGAAACAGAGGCAGUUGUUGAACAUCUUGGCUGCCUGUGAUAGUGAAUAACAGUUGGGACAAACAACAGGCUAACCAAAAAGCUUAAAAGGAAAAGCUGAGCAAUGAGAUAGCCAUUAGGGGAUUUGAGAAGCUCUGAUAUAUUUCUGGGAAAUCUGAAAGGUUGUGUAUAUGCGUGGGGCUGUGUGCAUGUUUAUUUAGGAAAGACCUGAGAAGGCCUAAGUUGUCAGUUUUUUAAAUCUGGUUCAUCUUUAAGUUCUGUGCAAGCAGGUAGUGAAGACUAAGGCAGAUUUGUAAAUUGACUGGCUGAGUGUUAAAUAUGUGCCCUGAUAUACAUACAGAGCCCAGCAGUCUAGACUGGAAGAUUUUCUAAGGAAAUCUGUCUAAUCAGUAGCUCAUCAUUAAUACUAAUAGCAGAGACUUCAGUGGCCACAUGUGACAAAGAAUCCAGACUGCAGAAUUAGAUUCUUUAUUUCCCUAUCCUAUUUCAUUUUUCUUACCACUGCUUAAAUAAUAAGUUACUGGUUAUCUGUCUCUUCCCUCUGAUUAGAAUAUCCACGCAGUGAGAGCAGGGACUUUGUCUUUUUGCACAGGGCUUUAUCUCCAGUGCUUAGAACAAUGCCUAGUACAUAAAAUAUUUUUUGAAAUAAUGAAUAAAUGAAUGACUCAGAUAUCCUCUAUUCACUUUCUGUCUUCUAAAAAUCUGUUGUCUUUUGCCCCCUGAAAACACUGUUUUUAUUUUUGUUGUAAUUGUGUAUUUUAUCUAUUCUAUUCCUUUACUAUUAAUUUUAUAGAGUGGAUUUCUGUGCAUUGUCAGCUCUCUUGAACCCAAUGUUCUGAUUCCUGAUUUUGAUCAAUGGGAAGGUGGUUGAGAGUAAACUGAUUGGGAUGAAGUUUGGGAAGUUAUGUGGUAGAAUUCAGCAUUCAAAAGAAGAGAAUGAAAUAACCAUACCCUAUACAAAUAAUUUUGACAAUCUGGAUGAAGUGGCUAUUUUAUUUUAUUUAUUUGUUUUUAUUUUGUUUUAUUUUUUAGAUUUUCAGGUUCUAUUCAUUACUAUCUCUUAUUCCCAUGACACUAUUUUAUUAAAGUUAAGCCACACAUUUAAAAAAUACUUAGGCCCAGUCAUAAGAUGGAGAAAUUAUUUGCUAAAAUUUUAUUUGGGGAGGUGUGGUGAAUAAUUCUUCGAAGUUUUAAAAUAUGCAUUGGUUGAUCUAAUGAGUUGGUGUUUAUUUCUACAGGCACAUGUGGUCAUACUAAAAAUGUGAUUUGUAAUUGCAAUGACUUGGUUAUCCCCUUUAAUAAUGGUUAUUUUCUCAAGCAUGAAGUGGCUAUUUUAGAAAAACAUUAACAGAUUUGAUGCCAGAAGAAAGAAAUUUAAUAGACUGAUAACAUUGAAGAAAUUAAAGUUGUCUUAAGGUCUGCUCCACAAAAACCUUGAGACCCAGAUAUUUUCAUAGGAUCCAACUCAGGAUACCACAUUGCACUCUAUAGAUAUAAAAAAUGACUUUGUGAAAGAAAGAAAAAAUAAAUACUUCACUCAAAAUAGAAAAUAUGAAUUUCAGUCUUGAGGCAUAGUUUGCCUAAGAUUAUUAGUUAAGAUCAACUGGAAAAGAGGACUUGUGUAUCUUUCAGGUUUAACUCCAUUAAGCAGUCUUCUUUUUUUUCCCCCCUAAGCAAAACAACAAAUAGUAUAGUAGUUGUAUUCUGAUUUUAAGUGCUAUUUUAUAAAUAGUAGUACAGAUGCUCCUCAACUUGUGAUGCAGCCACAACAAACCCAUCAUAAGUUGAAACCCAUCAUAAGUUGAAAAUAUCAUAAAUAUUUUUCUAGUAAUAUAAAUAAAAAAUGUACUUAAUAUACCUAACCUAUAACAUCAUAGUUAAGUCUUGCCUACCUUAAACGUGUUGAGAACACAAUAUCUCAAAAACACUGGCAACACACUAUACUGUAGAGUAUUGGUUCUUUACCCUCGUGAUUGUGUGCCUGACUGGGAGCUACUGCUACCCAGCAUCAUAAGAGAGUUUUGUACCACAUGUUACUAGCCUGGAAGAAGAUCAGAAUUCAAAGUACGGUUUCUACUGAAUGUGUAUUGCUUUUGCACCAUCAUAAAGUUAAAAAAGCGUAAGUCAAACAGUCAUAAGUCAGGGACUGUACUUGAGUUUGUUCUCAAGGCAUUAUUAGAUCAGUAAGGCUUCUCACGAUCCAUGAAAUACCUGGGACUGCCAGUGUUAUUACUGUUUGCUGGGAAUUUCUUCCACUAUACAUUUAGGGUUCGGCUCAGAGCAAAAGCAUGAGAAUGCUAACCUUGUAGUUAUGUGACAGUUCUGUUAGGCAAACUGUCCAAUUAUUUGGAAAGUUUUUGAGUAUUUUAUUUUUACCCUAUCAAUGUGUGGAAGCAUUUUUGCAGCUGUAUGUAUAACCAUGUUUUGUCUUAUGUAUUUUUCUUCAUUUCUCACCUUUGUUUUCAGCUUGUGUAUUUCUUCAGUGGCCAGAUGGCCAACAAACCAAAGCAGAGAGGUAAUAGCAAAACAAAUGAAAAACUCAAUAAACCUCUCUACUAUUUGUAUUAAUUUUCUGUGACUGCCAUAAUAAAUUACCACAAAUUUGGAGAUUUGAAACAUCAGAAAUUUAUUAUUCUCUUGCAAUUCUGGAGGCCAGAAGUCUGAAAUCAAGGUGUUGGCAAAGCUGCACUUUUUUCAUAGCCUCUAAGGGGAGAAUCUAUUCCUUGCUUCUUCCAGUUUCUGGUGACUGCUGGAAGUCUGGCCAUAUCCUCCAACCUCUGCCUCCACCUUUGUAUCACCUUCUCUCUGUAUGUGUUAGCUAAUUUCCCCUCCACCUUACUUUUAUAAGGACAUGAGGUGGCACUUAUGACCUACCUAGGUAAUCAAGGAUAAUCUCAUCUCAAAAUCCUUAAUUUAAUCCUGCAAAGACUCUUUUCUAAAUAAAGUAACAAUCACCAGUUCUGGGAAUUAGGAUGAAAAUCCUUCCUUCCUUCCUUCCUUCCUUCCUUCCUUCCUUCCUUCCUUCCUUCCUCCCUUCCUCCCUUCCUCCCUUCCUUCCCUUCCUUCCCUUCCUUCCCUUUAUUUUUAAUUUAAAACUUUACCCUACCAAAAUAGUUAUGGCAAUGUAAAGUACAGCAUAAAAAACAUGUAGUCAAUAAUAUUGUAAUAACUAUGUAUGGUGCCAGUUGAAUACUGGAAAUAUCAGAGGGAACAGUUUGUAAAGUAUAUGAUUGUCUAACCACUAUGCUGCACAUCUAAAACUAAUACAAAAUAAUAUUGAAUGUAAAUUGUAACUGAAAAAUUUUAAAAAUAAACAAAAACCUUUAACCUACUAAUAAGUGAGGGAAAAUAAAGGCUUCUAACCUCGAA